GGUCGGAUAGUGUAAAGGUGAUCACAUCGGAUUCUGAUUGUACCUAUUUUCCGGGAAUCUGGGUUCGAGUCCCAGUCCGACCU
Molecule: non-coding RNA, 83 nt
Organism: Xylariaceae sp. FL1272
Lineage: Eukaryota; Fungi; Ascomycota; Sordariomycetes; Xylariales; Xylariaceae
Source: the annotation of a GenBank genome assembly